This is a long non-coding RNA of Aegilops tauschii subsp. strangulata, 1075 nucleotides long. RefSeq lists it as uncharacterized. The record is from RefSeq and is a predicted model, not a curated record. NCBI's taxonomy places the organism in Eukaryota, Viridiplantae, Streptophyta, Magnoliopsida, Poales, Poaceae.
AAAAACGUGACUUUUCACGAAAGAAAAAAAAGUAAGCGCGUUUUUUCGCGCGUCGAAAAGCUAAGGAAGACCGGGGAAAACCAAAACAUCGAAAAAACAAAAAAAAACGUUUAAAAAGCCGAAAACGCGUGCAGAAAAAUAAAAAAACAAAAUCUAGAGGAAGCGUUCAGAGCAUGACACGUGGCGAAUGGCUGAGAGCGCCAAGUGGCGCUGAUCGUUGCGAGGCUCCCGAAGGAGCGCUCGUUAACUAGUUGCUCCCAAGCGGUUCGGCUUAACGGUAGCGGCAGUUUCGCUGGGACGGGCUGAAAGUCUGAAAUAGAGGCCCAAAUAGAGCUUGGCCCAAAUUUCCUCGGUACAGAGAGCAGCACCCCCACGAAACCUAGCAUCUCGUAUCCCAUUCCCUUCUCUCCCUCCCAGCGAAAAGGUGGCGGCGGCUGUGCUCGACCUCGACUCAUCCCAGCUGCGCGUGAACCGGCUGCUACAUCGCCGGAAGGGAAGCCGGAUGCAGUGACGGGGAGGCAAGGCAGCAAGGCCGGAUGCAGUGACCACAGGACUUGGACGCCGUUGGGGAAACAGCGGGACACUAAGCUUAUGCAGGUGACCAUGGAGCGAAUCAGAGUCAUUCAGUUGGAAGCGUGCCAUUAACUUCGCUCCAAGGUGCUUCGUUUUGGCGCAGUCUUCAGGCUUCUGUGUGGUGCUAGCCUUGAGCCAAUGUGCAAUGUCUUCAUCUUAUCUCAGGCCUAGUGGCCGGUGGCAUGUACCGAACUUAUUCUGUCUUGCUUUCUCGUUGCGUGUGUGUUUCGAACCUUGUCAGAUGCUGUCUGUUGGUGGGCUUUAUUAAUUUAAAGCCGGACGCUCCUUGCGUCAUCGUUCUAAAAAAAUGUAGCAGAAGUGGGCCAUCGUUGGCGGAGGAGAGGCAUGGGAUUAACGGAUUCGAGUGUGGAGAGUUGUGCGAAUAAGUUAUGUAAAAUUUGGGUCAGGUACCCGCAAGAUUGUAUUUGUGAUGUUCUGGACUCGGAUCGUGCCGAGAUGAUUGAAUAAUACGCAACCCAUUACAACCAAAAACAUAUUUUUU